CCCCUACAGGCGUUGCAAGCGUGGCUGCCAUGUGCCACGUUUGUGUCAUUAGGUGGCAGAGAGGAACUGGCUAUGUCUACGCUCUGUGUUCCACAGCCGUGAGCACUCAGAAUGAUUAGUAGCCAGACAGGACGGCAUCUCUAUCCUUCCUUCCGCCUUUCUUGCAUGUCUGAGCCCAAGUGCGGGAUCAAAAGUGCUUGCAAACAGUGUGGGGUUUUCACACUUGAGCAGGAGGGCCUCGCUAGGGAGGUGAACCAGUUGCUAUUUUUAUUUAUUUAUAGGUGGCUUACAUGCAGUGGGUAAAACAAGAGGGCCCUGCCCGCCAGGCUUACAGUCACAAAAUACGCAGCACACAAGGAAAUGGGGAUGGGGAGGGAAGAGGAAAUGAAAGAAGUCUUUCAGCAGGGCUGGCAGAUGAGGGGGUUGGCUUCCCCCUCAUCUCCCUGCAAAAGGUCUCAAGAAGAGUUUGAAGCCAGUGAUCUGGAAGCUUAGAAGCCGUUUCCCUGGACAUCAUGCAGUCCGGAAGCUAUUCGCACCUUGAUCAUAACCUGCCACGGGCCGGAGAGAAUUGCUUUUGGGUGCCAGGUGCAAGUUUGUAUUUUGUAGUGAUUCUUGUCCCUGCCCACUUCUCCCUUUGGCUCCACCCACCCCAGAACACAGCUCCCGAAAUUGAUUUCACCUCUCGGGGCAGGAACGUUUUCUGGUGCCCCUUAGAGUUAUAAAUACUGAACAUGUCUUUGUGUUUGCAGAAAUGUGCUGACCCACCCCGGUAGGAAGCAUGUAGCCCCUGGAGACAAGUAGGAAAACCCAAAGGCACCCAGUGCCGAUCAUAGUAGCCAGUAGACGGAAGGAGCCUGCGGUUGGGGUUUGAGAGCCGAUGGUUUUACUGGGACCCGUUGAAGGUAAAGAGGGCCUCUGGCGUUGUUGGAUCCAGUUCUCCAACCCGGUGUGUUAAAACGUCGAAGCUGUGAGAGAUGAAAAUAAGAUGAAAUAACUGUCCAGCCUUCCCCAACGUGGUGCCCUCGCGUGUUUGUAUUCCAGCACGUCUGGAGGGAACGGGCUUGGGGAAAGCUAUACGAGUUCUUUGUUUGACCGAGGGCUUCCUUGCAAUGUCAGUUUUCCAUAAAGAAGUUUCCCUCCCAACCUUACAGUAACUGAACACUAUUCCCUCUCCGUGCCACUUCAGUUUUAUUUAUGUGUUGAUUGCAUUUCUAUUCCUCCCAGUAGCCAAAUCUCUCUGUGUUGAUUAUCCAUGCCUGUUUGUAAACUUCCCAGAGAGCAUUGGCGAUUGGGCAGUAUAAAAAUGCCAUAAAUAAAUACAUUUCCUCCAAACACACACAGACACUUUCUCUCAUGGCAAAUCUACACAAAACUCAGAAGCGUGGCUCCUGCAGAAGCCUCCUAGUAAACCACCUUUGAGACGUUUUCUUUUGGAAAGGCGUUUUCAGGAUAUUUGCAGUAAGGAGAAGCACUGAGCAAAAUAACCCUUUUCUGCAUAUUUCCGUCGAGGGCAGAAUAUAUUCCAGGAAGCCCGGACACAAGUCUGUGGGACCCGGUCCUCCUAUUACGAUUGGCUGCCAGUCAGGGGGGUUGAUCUCACACCCCUGAGGGCAUCUCCAAAAUUCAGUUCAGGGCUGAAUUGGGUUCAACGGCCCCCGCUGUAAAUGGUACGUCUGCAACUUUGCCAUUUUCGCAAGGGUUGAGGAGGAAAAACUGGGGCGGGUCAUGAAGGCGCUUGGUUUGAAAUGUGCAUUUUCCGGGUAGCCCUGAGUUACUAAGCCACAGAGGCCGGGCUGAUGGUAAACUGCCCCUGUAGAGACGUAAAUACGACUGCCGUGUCGUUUUUAUGCCAGGCGGAGGCAGACAGGAAAUGGUGGCAGCCUGGAAAUCUUCAUCCUUGGAGAAUUGGGAUGAAAGAUGAUGAUAGCUGCUCGACAGCAAGUGUCUGGGAAUGAAAAGGAAAGAAAGCCCACCUCACCCCAAAGUCCCUUAUGCCUUUUCACAGCAUUUAUUACACUAUUUAUACCCUUCCUUUUCCCCCUCUUGCAAGGAACCCAAAGCUGCUGACAUGGCCUUCCUCCUCUCCAUGUUAUCUUCACAACAGCCCUGUGAGGUAGAUCAGGCUAAGAGUCCAUGACUGGCCCAAAGUCGCCCCCAGUGAGGUAAACGGCCGAAUGGGGAAUAAAUCCCGGGUCUCCCCAGUCCAACGCUCCUAACCGCUGCACCACAUUUGCCUCCCUGCAAUGUUUGGUAUUUUUUAAACAGACAAUUGAUCAAAUAAAGUUUCUUGUAUUCUGUGGUGGUGUUUGAUGAAUCCUCAUAACUCCUGUUCUCUGUGUGUUGGUGCUGCAGCGUUACAUCCACAAUUUAACUGCCUAAAUAAAAAUCAGUGUUCCUCUCAA
Molecule: long non-coding RNA, 2402 nt
Organism: Elgaria multicarinata webbii
Lineage: Eukaryota; Metazoa; Chordata; Lepidosauria; Squamata; Anguidae
Exons: 2
Source: RefSeq, a predicted model, not a curated record